AUAUCUUCCCUCCAACUCUUUUUUAGCCCGCCAAGUAUGAAUUUUCUUUCUAGAAUCCAUAUAAUUAAUUAUUUCUUUCAGCCAAACAAAAAUAUUUUACCCUAAAAAGUCAAUUUAUUCCUUUCAGCCAAAGUCACGAUGAGUAACCCAGGUCUUCUCUCUCGUCAUCGGUGGCGUUGUCGAUCAAUCCUCUGUUAAUUACUCAUUUUAAUUUUUGAGUUCACAUAUUUGAUUUUAGGUUCGGAAUUUGGAUUCUAGUUUUUUGGAUUGUUUGCCAUGAUUUCCGAUGUGAGGCUUUUGAUGUGCUAUAUAUUUCGUAGUAGAUCUGAAAGUUAGAAUAGUGAAUGACGUUUGCUUUCUGAAUCUGUUUACAUAUGCCUAACACAUACACAUAGGUAGAUGUCUAUAUACAUUUUUUUUUCUUAUAACUGAGAAAUUCUCGAGGCAUGGUGGCGCACGAUUCUAGACAAUCAUAAAUACAUAUAGUUCAGUUUUUCCGAUAUAUUUUAAUGGUAAAUUGUUAGAUUAUAGAGUCUGAAAGUGAGAGCAUUGUUGUAGGUGAGUUUAUCUCGAUUAUUUUGAUCUACUUUUAAUAGUUGAUUUGCUUCGAAAUCGAUAUAGAGGCUUUGAGUACUCAGUGAUACUAUAUAUAUACAAACACACAUGCUCAUAUACGUAUACUUGUUGGUGUGUAUGUGUGUUACUUUAUUUUUCAAUGGUCAGUUGAUCUGGAUUGAUAGAGCUAGAAUGUCAUUGUCCAUAAGCUUAUCGCCUUCAUUAUUUUGGUUUGUUGCUGGAAUUGUGUGUCCUUGUGCCUUUGAAGUUCAAUUGUUGUCUUCUAUGUCACUGUCUGUUUGUUUGGUGUGUAUAUAAGUGAUCUAUAGUUGGGCAAGUUGUUUACAGUUUAAGUUUUCUCAACUUGUUUGCAAUAGCCCAUGUGCAUUAAGAUGUCUAUGCUCAAUAUAAGAAGUUCCACUACUUGCAAUAGCCUUUUAAUAUUCUUUACCCAAUUUGAAUUAGUGUGUGUACACAUUCAUAUACGUGUUAAGUUACCUUUUCCCCUUUUCUAUAUAUCAUUUAUGAGAUAGUUAAGAAAUUGAUUGGGUAUGAUAAUAGGCCAAAGAUACGUUGAUUAGUCACUUUAAAUAUGGUCGAGUGGAUUUCCAUCAACGAAAGGAGAGAUUAAGAACAGACGCUCCAUUGUCAUUGAGCAUGGUGUGUGCAAGGAAAAAGUGCAUACAACAUAUAACUAUAUCUCUAUGAAAUUACAACUGAGGCAAAAGAAAUUUCCCCCAUAACAUAGAGUUUAAGAUGACCUUUGAAAAUAGGCAAAAGAAGUUUCCUCCAUAAAGUUGAAAGGAUCUUUGAUGUAUUUAGAAGUGGCAGAAUGAGAGGUACUAGAGAGAGAACUGUUAUCUUGUCAAAAAAAAAAAAAAGGUGCUAGAGAGAGAAUUAAACAUUGAAGCCAUAUUAAACUGGAAGAAGAUGAUGACAUAAAGUUGAAAAAGAAAGAAAGAAACAGAAGCUAAGGGUAUGUGAGAUUUCACUGGCUAUGUUGUUGCUGUUAUCUAUGCAUUAUACUGGCCUAACAUGUCUCUCAUUACCUCAACUGUUCAGCUACCCAUCUUAACUAGACAAAAUAAGACCAAUCAAUAUCAGUAGCCACCUAAUGUUUUCUUAAGAAAGCUUUGACACUGCUUGUGGCGUUUUUAUGCCAGUUAUGAAUCUUAAAAACCUUAAUACUGCAAAAGUGGUACGAGCUCAACUCGAGCUCAUCUCUAUGAGCUCUCCCAAGUUUACUAUAAGCUUAGAAAUUAUUUAUGCUAGACUAAAAUGCAGUUGAAUAGUUGAUUUGCUUCAAAAUGGAGUUGGAGGCUUUGAGUACAAAGUGAUUUGCAAAUGUAGAACCUAUCAGUUGUCUUGCGCAAAAAUUGGAUUAAGAAAUUAUAUCAUAAUUAUUCUAUUCAAUUUGAAUGGUUAUAACCAAUUGAUACAAAAUUAUAUAUCUCUUUUCGAGUUACAGCGCAUCCUAGUCUCUUCUGUUUUGUGCACAAAAAGAUAUUGUUAAUUGGUUGGAUACUGAACUUUAAAUUUUUUAUUAGAAUAGUGGAACUGACAUAUAAGUUCUCUAUUUUUUCAUUCAUCGUGAAGUGUUUAGGCAGUUAACUUCUUCCUUGGGAUGGAAAAACUUCUUCUUUGGGAUAACAAAUAAUUAUGAUUCUAUUAGAGUUAACAUGUUUUGCUUCCUCUGCCCAAUUUCAUUAUUUUGUACAGGAAGAUUCUUUUUUUGCAUGUACCGAAUCUGGAGCAUUCAAUUUGUUCUUGAUAAUACGCCUUGGAGAAGGACUUUUCUCCUUUCUUUUUGCUUCUACUAGUGGUACACUUUGAGCUCCAAUGUUGUCAUCUUGCUGCUUUUUUUCCUCUACCAUAUCUUCCUAUCUAUAUGGACUGUUUUGCUUUAUGAUUACCCUCUAACUAAUAACAUUAGAUGUGUGUUGGUCCUUAGGAUAAACUAUAUGUUCAUUGCUUAAACUAGUAGCUUGCUCCUUAGGUCCAAACUCACUCUCAUUCUCAACUUGUAUUGAUGGUUCAUCUUUAGUUCUUUAGAAUUAUUUGCUGCUGCAGAGAACAUGGACCGUGUAUCAUAAUUUUUUGAAAAGUUAUCUUGAGUAUGUGAAGUUAUCUCCUGUACAAAUGCAUUUAAUCCAAUCUAUUUAAAACUAUGAUCACAUGUGCCUGGACUCAAUUGAUCACAAGCUACAAGAACCGAACUUGCAGUUGGUACCAAAGUAGGUUGGUUUCCACUACCCAAAUUUCUUGAGAUCCCAACUUUAUUCCCAAGUGAUUGAGCAACGUAAAGGAACUUGGGAUCAAUUUGUAAUGACUCAAUGCUUGUCGCACCAAGCUGAGAAGUUUUUUUUUUUCCAGAUUUUUACUUGAAAGCAAAAUGCAUCCUUCAUCAACCGUGGCCUCAAUCUCCUUAUCAGCUACACCCUUAUUUCCUGAGCCACCAACGUCACCUGUAGUUGUAGCAAUUUUGUUGCUAUUUUCCACUUGUAGCACUAUAUCAUGUCCAACCUCCUUUCCCCAUUUUACACCCUUAUACUAUUCUAGUUUGAGUGUGAAUGCUUUUCAUUUCGCAACAGAAUAUAUAAAAGCACUUAAAAUGACUAUUUUUUUGGGUAUGCAUGUCCAUUGAAACUUGAACAGUUGUACCUUGUGCAAAUAUUUUAGUUUGAAUGUACAUUCUUUCCAUUCCAGCUGGCGUUUCAUUUCUUUCCCUGCAUUUUCUGCUUUCUAUAAAGUAUAAUCUGAUUUUCAUUGUAUUGUAACCCUUUAUCCUCCCAUUUCAAGACACUUUCUCAUGUGUUUUUCUCCUAUGUCUCUUAUAGAAGAACUCAAGAAAAUGAGAAGACUGUAAAAGAAAUUACCUAUGUUGUUUCUAUGUCGAAACACAUAAUCACAUGAAGCGACAUUCCAUAUUUACCAGCUUGGUAGCAGAUCAUUCAUUUGAAACUGCACUGAAGAAAUGACUAUAGUUUUAUCUACUCAAAAUCCAGUCUUGUGUUCUUAGGGUUAACACACAUUUGAGGGGUGCAAGACGAAAGUGAAAAAGACUUCUUCAAAUAAUUGAAGGUCAUACACUAAGAUGUUGAGCUAUUCGGCAUGCGGAAGACUUCAUUAUGAUCAAGCAUUGGAGUAGCUUUAAUUAUUUGUUUUUUAUAUAAUGCCAAAUGACCCUAGUUAUUAGAUUGAAAUUGUUUAUCCAUUACAUUGUUCACUUUGAAAUUAUGGUUUAAUAGUUAUUUUUGUUGUGGAUUUAAUGAAGUGUAUUAAUUUAUUGAAGAUGAAUCUUAUUAUUAUUUUUCAAUGUAACUAGCAUUAGAUGUUGUUGGAA
Lycium barbarum (goji berry) is the source of this 3898-nucleotide long non-coding RNA. RefSeq lists it as uncharacterized. NCBI's taxonomy places the organism in Eukaryota, Viridiplantae, Streptophyta, Magnoliopsida, Solanales, Solanaceae. The record is from RefSeq and is a predicted model, not a curated record. The transcript is spliced from 3 exons.